Long non-coding RNA from Anguilla anguilla (European eel), 920 nucleotides. RefSeq lists it as uncharacterized. The transcript is spliced from 2 exons. The record is from RefSeq and is a predicted model, not a curated record. NCBI's taxonomy places the organism in Eukaryota, Metazoa, Chordata, Actinopteri, Anguilliformes, Anguillidae.
CCUUGCUCUGCAUCGACUUUCUCAACCAAUAUGGCGAAGAACGAUGACGAAAGCAGUGGAUGUGGCACCUCAGCUACAUUCAGGCGAACAUAUGAUCUUCGAAUUAGGAUUGCCAGGUCAAGUAGGAAGUCACACAAUGGAAAAAAUGGUAUGUAGAUGGGGGAUUUUUAAAUGGAGGUAAGGGCAAAUUUGUUGACAAUUCUUGAUAUGGCUCCAUCCACUUGAACCUGAUGGAACAACAUGGUUUUAAAAAAUGUUUUAAAAACCAUGAGAUUUAUGAAUUACUUUAAGGAUAAGCAGAGAGGUUGGCUUAUCCUGCUUGUCAAAAUUUCUUUCUGGAUAAAAUGUCUCCUUAGGUUCAGUAACACCACUUUUGAGUAAACAAGCAGCAAUAGACCUGCAAAUAUCAUCGAUUGGAGGCAGUCUGAGCUGUGAUGGGUUAUAAACCGUUCUUGGUGUUUUCCUAAAGUUGUGAUACAAUCUGUCAGUCGUAGAAAAGACGUUUUACGUUUCAGUGUGUCAUAGAACCUCCGUAAGUACCUGUGUAAGGAUUGGGAAGAUGUCACAAUUAAAUCAGAAUAUUUAUAAAACUGGUAAAAAGCACUACCAGGACACAGAAUGUAUAUAGAAUGAGUUUGACAUUACUGUACACUGAAGAAAAUGCAACAUUUGAAUCUGGAAUGGUUUUAUUCUGCCCAUUGUAAUGCAAUAAUACAGAGCAAAUGACCAUCAUUGAGAAAAUGGAUGUACAGUGAAAACCACAGUUACAACACUGGAGUGACACGCAGUUGUCACAGGCUCACAAUUUUCUACCAUUAUGUUUUCCUCUUUAUAUUUAGAUACUAUGUAUUAUCUGAUCCAAGGCUAAAGGCCGAGCAUUACUCUUCAAUUAGUAAAUAAGUCAACUUCAAAAAAAAAAA